UGAGACUCUGUGCGCGUGCAUAUCAAUAAGCGGAGGAAAAGAAACUAACAAGGAUUCCCUUAGUAACGGCGAGUGAAGCGGGAAGAGCUCAAAUUUGAAAUCUUCAAGGUUCUACCUUGACGAAUUGUAGUUUAAAGAAGUGUUUUCUGUUGGAGUUUUGGUAAAAGUUCUUUGGAAUAGGACAUCAUAGAGGGUGAGAAUCCCGUAUUUGACCAUUAUUUCCAGCUGUGUGAUACACUUUCAAAGAGUCGGAUUGUUUGGGAAUGCAGUCCAAAAUGGGUGGUAAAUUUCAUCUAAAGCUAAAUAUUGGCGAGAGACCGAUAGCGAACAAGUACCGUGAGGGAAAGACGAAAAGAACUUUGAAAAGAGAGUUAAACAGUACGUGAAAUUGUCAAAAGGGAAGCGUUUGACACCAGUGUUGUUUUCUCGAAAAUCAAUUAAAAAUGAUGGGAUUUUGUGUUGUAUUGACUUUAUCAGCUUUCUGCACUUUUUUCCUAUCUUUUUUAAUGCACCUUUCGUAUAACAAGUCAACAUCAAUUUCUUUUGCUGUAAAAGAGUCAUUGGAAGGUGGCUUUCUUUUCGGAGAAAGUGUUUAUAGCCUUUGACUUCUGCAGUCGGAGAGAUUGAGGUCUGCAGCGUAGAUCCUUCGGGGUUAGAUACAUUUGUGCUAAGCUAUAGUUCUUUAUAGACAACUUGUUGACUAUAAUCAAUCCUGUAACUUACUCGCUUAUGCUAUUUUACCUACGCUUAGGAUGUUGAACUCUAUCACACACAG
Molecule: ribosomal RNA, 775 nt
Filed under: uncultured Neocallimastigales
Lineage: Eukaryota; Fungi; Neocallimastigomycota; Neocallimastigomycetes; Neocallimastigales
Description: partial large subunit ribosomal RNA
Rfam family: Eukaryotic large subunit ribosomal RNA (bases 6-694)
Source: RNAcentral